CCUACGGGAGGCAGCAGUGAGGAAUAUUGGUCAAUGGACGAGAGUCUGAACCAGCCAAGUAGCGUGAAGGAUGACUGCCCUAUGGGUUGUAAACUUCUUUUAUAAAGGAAUAAAACGAGGCACGUGUGCCUUUUUGCAUGUACUUUAUGAAUAAGGAUCGGCUAACUCCGUGCCAGCAGCCGCGGUAAUACGGAGGAUCCGAGCGUUAUCCGGAUUUAUUGGGUUUAAAGGGAGCGUAGAUGGGUUGGUAAGUCAGUUGUGAAAGUUUGGGGCUCAACCGUAAAAUUGCAAUUGAUACUGGCAGUCUUGAGUGCAGUUGAGGUAAGCGGAAUUCGUGGUGUAGCGGUGAAAUGCUUAGAUAUCACGAAGAACCCCGAGUGCGAAGGCAGCUUACUAAACUGUGACUGACAUUGAUGCUCGAAAGUGUGGGUAGCAAACAGGAUUAGAUACCCUAGUAGUC
Molecule: ribosomal RNA, 460 nt
Filed under: uncultured bacterium
Lineage: Bacteria
Description: partial 16S ribosomal RNA
Rfam family: Bacterial small subunit ribosomal RNA
Source: RNAcentral